GAUGAACGCUGGCGGCGUGCCUAAUACAUGCAAGUCGAGCGAACAGACGAGGAGCUUGCUCCUCUGACGUUAGCGGCGGACGGGUGAGUAACACGUGGAUAACCUACCUAUAAGACUGGGAUAACUUCGGGAAACCGGAGCUAAUACCGGAUAAUAUAUUGAACCGCAUGGUUCAAUAGUGAAAGACGGUUUUGCUGUCACUUAUAGAUGGAUCCGCACCGCAUUAGCUAGUUGGUAAGGUAACGGCUUACCAAGGCAACGAUGCGUAGCCGACCUGAGAGGGUGAUCGGCCACACGGGAACUGAGACACGGUCCAGACUCCUACGGGAGGCAGCAGUAGGGAAUCUUCCGCAAUGGGCGAAAGCCUGACGGAGCAACGCCGCGUGAGUGAUGAAGGUCUUCGGAUCGUAAAACUCUGUUAUUAGGGAAGAACAAAUGUGUAAGUAACUAUGCACGUCUUGACGGUACCUAAUCAGAAAGCCACGGCUAACUACGUG
RNAcentral lists this ribosomal RNA (497 nucleotides) under uncultured bacterium. RNAcentral's name for it is "partial 16S ribosomal RNA". It matches the Rfam family "Bacterial small subunit ribosomal RNA", at positions 28 to 507 of the family's 1533-position model. The record is from RNAcentral.